AGACCAAAUACUGCCGGAAAGUGCGACGCCACAUUCCAAGGAGCGGAAGUAGAUUUCCCGGAAAGCCGUAAAGCGCCUCCCUCUUCCGGUUAACAACAGCCGUACCGACCGUCCACGCCGGCAGUUCUCCGCCUGGUUCACUUGGUCCUAUUGGAUGGUGGUGUAAUCCUACUGAACAACUCAGAAUGGACAGCCUGUAUACAAACGGGGAAGUGGAUGGAGAUAAAGAGUUCUAUGAACGUCUUGGAAUUUCACACAAAAUCUGGAGUAUGGAUUUUGACGGAACACUGCCGAGUCUGUCUCCAGGAAUUGCCUAUGGCCAAAUAAAGCAGCCCUGUGUCCACGGGGGACAUCUCUGAAGGGUCAUGGAGAUGACCCCAGGUUCAGAGGUCCUAUACAUUAGUAUUUCUGCUGUUUGAUUAAUUCUGGUAUUUAUGCUGCACUUGUAUUUCUAUUGUUUGAUAAAAAAUUCUGUAUUUAUGAAUUUAUGUUGCUUGAUUCUUUCUGUAUCAAUGAAUAAUCAUAAUGAAAAUCAAUCUGGAAGAAACUUUUAACCUCUAGAGUCUUAUGGGCACAGAAAUUUUUGCCCACAUUUUUAUCAGAGUGAAAAAAUAUGAUGAUCAACAAAGCAUUUUUCAGGAAUAAAAACAUUUACACUAACAAAACUCAAAGGGAGAAAUGGAGUGAAAUUUACAUUCAAGAAAGAAAAGUCAUGUAAAAUAGCCAACUGUUACUUGAGCUUGUUCAUGUGUACCUUUCCAUGGCUGAUCCAAGAUAUAAAAUCAUUACAAUUUUUAGAUUUCAUUAGGUAAAUUUACAAACAUGUAUCUAAAUUCUAGUUGACUUAUUUUUAAAACUCCAAUAUUUGUUGAUCUGGAAAUUAUACUCUUUACAACUAUAUCAACUUAUGACAAAAGUUUUUAGUGGCCACCUAACAUUGUGUGAAAGGAUACAUAGUUUUUCAAAAUUCUUCUGGGUGUUAAGUAGGCAAAAAUUUCCACUAAACUAGAUGACCCUAAACUAAGUUUAUUUGACUAUAAAUUCGGUGAUGCUUUCUUAUGUUGUUUUCUAGAGAUAGUCAAUCUAAUCAAGUCUUUUGUGGUGAUCACCCAUCCAUGGUGAAAAAAGAAUUAUUAGCAAUGGAAGAGAAAACAUCACCAGAAAAACAAAAGCAGGAGAUAAUUUGGGCUGGCAUAAGCUUGGAAAGAAGUAUAGUAAACUAAAAAAAGAAAGGUGGGGAUUACAAAUGUCCUUCUCUGCUCACAAACCACAUGUCCUCAUCGGGACAGGUGAUGCCCACAUCUCAAGCUUUAGACUCACAUCUCCUUGCUGUUGGUCUCACUGAAGGAAAAGGAGACAGAAGGAUUUCUGCUUUCCUCCGCCGCCCUCUGAUAACUGCCGUGAAUGACUGGGAUAUGCUUUCCAGGAGUGGGAAGCUCUCAGUCCAGUGGAUAAAUCCUCAAGAGCCUGCAUAGUGUAACCCUCAGGUAUCCAAGCAUUCAUGUGAUGCUCAUGGAAACAGACAAGCUGGCUUCCAGGGUCCUCAUAACUGACCUGCUUAGAAAAACAUACCUUAGCUGUAGGCAAAACAUGAGGUUGCUUCAGGAAUCUUACUGCCCUUCUUAAUAUUCAAGCUUGUACAUUUGUGGUACUAAUCUGUUCUCCUUAAUUACACUGAAAUUAUUAUCAGAAUAAAAAUCCAUGA
Long non-coding RNA from Aethalodelphis obliquidens (Pacific white-sided dolphin), 1705 nucleotides. RefSeq lists it as uncharacterized. The record is from RefSeq and is a predicted model, not a curated record. NCBI's taxonomy places the organism in Eukaryota, Metazoa, Chordata, Mammalia, Artiodactyla, Delphinidae. The transcript is spliced from 3 exons.